GAUCAUAAGGUCCUUCUGCUAACUCUCAGUACCCUAUAUUUCAGUAGAUCCUAGCUUUAUCUUUAGGUCAGAAUCUUUUGGAAAUUUAUUUAAUGUCCCAAAUAACCCCUGAAAAUAGGACUCAAAAGUUUUCUCUUUCCCAUUCUCUUAUUCCUCAGGUCUAGGCACAACUCAAGCUAGUUUUCCAAGAAGUCUUGACCCUGAAGUGCUACAGCAUUCAAGUCUCGGUCCAGAAAUAGGACCAGGGAGUUCUUUUGGUGGAGUCAACAUCACUGACUUCCCCAGUACAGAAAACUAAACCGUAACUUGAAGGACUUCCCUAGGAGAAGGGGUCACAGUAUCUGUACCCCAGAUUAGAGGAACAGGGAAGGCCCAGAUCAUUCACCUUCCUAGUUUCCUUCUCUUCCUGAUGACAGUAAUGCUAAAGACUGGAAGAUGGUAUCUCCAAUUUUCUUACAGUCAGGUCCCAAAGAGGACCCCAACAUCAGAUGUUCUCCCUGGGCUAGCUCAUCCUCAGGCUCCAUGAAACUGUCUUUCUUACCUGUUGAGGUGAUUUGGUGACAAAAAGACCAUUUCUAGCCAUAGCAACAUAACAAGG
Molecule: long non-coding RNA, 598 nt
Filed under: Zalophus californianus (California sea lion)
Lineage: Eukaryota; Metazoa; Chordata; Mammalia; Carnivora; Otariidae
Description: lncRNA (ENSZCAG00015020191.1)
Source: RNAcentral